UGGGGAAUUUUGCACAAUGGGGGAAACCCUGAUGCAGCGACGCCGCGUGAUUUAGAAGGCCUUCGGGUUGUAAAAAUCUUUUGUAUGGGAAGAAAAUAACAGUACCAUACGAAUAAGGACCGGCUAAUUACGUGCCAGCAGCCGCGGUAAUACGUAAGGUCCGAGCGUUGUCCGGAAUCAUUGGGCGUAAAGGGUACGUAGGCGGAUAAGCAAGUUAGAAGUGAAAUCCUAUAGCUCAACUAUAGUAAGCUUUUAAAACUGCUCAUCUUGAGGUAUGGAAGGGAAAGUGGAAUUCCUAGUGUAGCGGUGAAAUGCGCAGAUAUUAGGAGGAAUACCGGUGGCGAAGGCGACUUUCUGGCCAUAUACUGACGCUGAGGUACGAAAGCGUGGGUAGCAAACAGG
RNAcentral lists this ribosomal RNA (402 nucleotides) under Verrucomicrobiota bacterium. RNAcentral describes it as "Verrucomicrobia bacterium partial 16S ribosomal RNA". It matches the Rfam family "Bacterial small subunit ribosomal RNA", at positions 355 to 776 of the family's 1533-position model. The record is from RNAcentral. Lineage: Bacteria; Pseudomonadati; Verrucomicrobiota.